AAUGGCUGCUUCAAUUUCAGCUUGAACCUCCAAACCGCAAGUUAGCACCUCAUACCACAGUGCAUCAAAGCAGUCUCAUGAGCGCUGGGAAGGACGAGCCCAGAGCCCAAAACAGACAGUGCAGGAGAUGACAAGCUGUCCUGUGCCAGAAGUUCUGUUGACCCACAGUGAGAGGCAUCAUUUCAGAAACACCAGGAAGACUGAAACUCGU
Maylandia zebra (zebra mbuna) is the source of this 211-nucleotide non-coding RNA. The record is from RefSeq and is a predicted model, not a curated record. NCBI's taxonomy places the organism in Eukaryota, Metazoa, Chordata, Actinopteri, Cichliformes, Cichlidae.